RNAcentral lists this signal recognition particle RNA (86 nucleotides) under Neobacillus sp. PS2-9. RNAcentral describes it as "signal recognition particle sRNA small type". It matches the Rfam family "Bacterial small signal recognition particle RNA". From Rfam's summary of the family: The signal recognition particle (SRP) is a universally conserved ribonucleoprotein involved in the co-translational targeting of proteins to membranes. Archaeal SRP consists of a 7S RNA and homologues of the eukaryotic SRP19 and SRP54 proteins. In most bacteria, the SRP consists of a 4.5S RNA and the Ffh protein (a homologue of the eukaryotic SRP54 protein). The record is from RNAcentral. Lineage: Bacteria; Bacillati; Bacillota; Bacilli; Caryophanales; Bacillaceae.
AUCAUAGUCCAACAACGACACUAGGAAACUGGUCAGGGCAGGAAUGCAGCAGCCAUAACUUGUGAAAUUGUGUGGGCUAUUACAUA